AUGGUAACUAAGAAUUAUACCAAUAAUUGUAACUGUCCUGGGAUGAUAAGCAGUCACACUGUCGCCUCAGCUAUUGUUUCUGUUUCCGUGGAGCAUCGAUCAUAUAAUUAUGCAGCAGAGAAUGUCUCCCACGCUUCCCCAUCAACACAAAGAAGCUCAGUUCAGGCAGUCCAACAAGAAAAACAGAAAAGGAGUCCAUCCAAGGUCUUGUCUGAUCAAUCGAACACCUCAAGGUCGUUGGCUGCAAUGGAGGCCGUUAGAGAUUCUGACGUUGCGUUCCUUCCAACAAAUUUUCUUCUGAUUAUUUUGAUGUUGUAUGCUUCACAUCGGUUUCUGUUGCUCGGAUCCGAUCCAUGUCACACCGAAGGCAUAAGUGAGAUAGCAGGAGAGGAGAGUGGGACUUGGACCAGAGAAAGGAGAUUGGAAUUCAGAUUUCACGCAUCGCAUACCUCACGUUUACACCCUCUGUAUUGCUGUGGUGAUCAGGUGUGA
This 492-nucleotide ribosomal RNA is filed under the name Triticum aestivum (bread wheat). RNAcentral's name for it is "partial small subunit ribosomal RNA". Lineage: Eukaryota; Viridiplantae; Streptophyta; Magnoliopsida; Poales; Poaceae. The record is from RNAcentral.